GUGUAGCGGUGAAAUGCGUAGAGAUAUGGAGGAACACCACUGGCGAAGGCGACUUUCUGGUCUGUAUCUGACACUGAGGCGCGAAAGCGUGGGGAGCAAACAGGAUUAUAUACCCUGGUAGUCCCCGCCGCAAACGAUGAGUGCUAAGUGUUAGAGGGUUUCCCCCCUUUAGUGCUGAAGUUAACGCAUUAAGCACUCCGCCUGGGGAGUACGGCCGCACGGAUGAAACUACUAGGAAUUGACGGGGGCCCGCACAAGCGGUGGAGCAUGUGGUUUAAUUCUAAGCAACGCGAAGAACACUUACCAGGUCUUGACAUCCUCUGAGAACCCUAUAGAUAGGGCUUCUCCUUCUGGAGCAGAGUGACAGGUGGUGCAUGGUUGUCUUCAGCUCGUGUCGUGAGAUGUAGGGUUAAGUCCCGCCACGAGCGCAACCCUUGAUC
Molecule: ribosomal RNA, 440 nt
Filed under: Bacillus cereus
Lineage: Bacteria; Bacillati; Bacillota; Bacilli; Caryophanales; Bacillaceae
Description: bacterial SSU rRNA
Rfam family: Bacterial small subunit ribosomal RNA
Source: RNAcentral